Molecule: non-coding RNA, 27 nt
Filed under: Homo sapiens (human)
Lineage: Eukaryota; Metazoa; Chordata; Mammalia; Primates; Hominidae
Source: RNAcentral
CAGAGGCAGAGCCCACCUACCAUUUUC